RNAcentral lists this ribosomal RNA (320 nucleotides) under uncultured eukaryote. RNAcentral describes it as "partial 18S ribosomal RNA". It matches the Rfam family "Eukaryotic small subunit ribosomal RNA", at positions 1470 to 1796 of the family's 1831-position model. The record is from RNAcentral.
CCCCUAGAUGUUCUGGGCCGCACGCGCGCUACACUGAACAGUUCAACAAGUCUUAACCUUGGCCGAUAGGUCUGGGUAAUCUUUGAACGCUGUUCGUGAUUGGGAUAGACCCUUGCAAUUAUGGGUCUUCAACGAGGAAUUCCUAGUAAACGCAAGUCAUCAGCUUGCAUUGAUUACGUCCCUGCCCUUUGUACACACCGCCCGUCGCACCUACCGAUUGAAUGGUCCGGUGAAAUCUCGGGACGGCGGCUUGGUCGCUUGCGUCCGACUGCUGAAACUUGAUUAAACCAUAUCAUUUAGAGGAAGGAAAAGUCGUAACA